RNAcentral lists this ribosomal RNA (1319 nucleotides) under Oenococcus oeni. RNAcentral's name for it is "bacterial LSU rRNA". It matches the Rfam family "Bacterial large subunit ribosomal RNA", at positions 529 to 1874 of the family's 2925-position model. Lineage: Bacteria; Bacillati; Bacillota; Bacilli; Lactobacillales; Lactobacillaceae. The record is from RNAcentral.
GGAAGGGGAGUGAAAUAGUUCUUGAAACCGUGUGCUUACAAGAAGUUCGAGGCCGUUAAUGGCUGAGAGCGUGCUUUUUGUAGAAUGAACCGGAGAGUUACGAUUGCGUGCAAGGUUAAGGUGCAAAGACUGGAGCCGUAGCGAAAGCGAGUCUUAAUAGGGCGAAUCAGUACGUAGUUGUAGACCCGAAACCGAGUGACCUAUCCAUGGUCAGGUUGAAGGUGGGGUAAUACCUACUGGAGGACCGAACAAGUGGGUGUUAAAAAACCCUUUGAUGAACUGUGGAUAGCGGUGAAAUUCCAAUCGAACUCGGAGAUAGCUGGUUCUAUCCGAAAUACAUUUAGGUGUAGCCUUGCAAUUAGCUUACUGGAGGUAGAGCACUAUUUGGUCUAGGGGCCCUUCAAGGGUUACCAAAAUCAGAUAAACUCCGAAUGCCAGCUAAGUAUGUGCAGGAGUCAGACGGUGAGUGAUAAGAUCCAUCGUCGAAAGGGGAACAGCCCAGAUCACCAGUUAAGGUCCCUAAAUAUAUGCUAAGUGGAAAACGUUGUGAAGGUGCAUAGACAACUAGGAGGUUGGCUCAGAAGCAGCCACCCUUUAAAGAGUGCGUAAUAGCUCACUAGUCGAGUGCUCUUGCGCGGAUAAUGUACCGGGGCUAAGCAUAUUACCGAAACUGUGGAUGCGUAAGCAUGGUAGGAUAGCGUAAUUAACGCGAUGAAGGAUGACCGUAAGGACAUGUUGGAGCGUUAACUAGUGAGAAUUCCGGUAUGAGUAGCGAAAGAUAGGUGAGAAUCCUAUCCACCGAAUGAGUAAGGUUUCCCCCGGAAGGCUCGUCCGCGGGGGGUUAGUCGGGACCUAAGGCGAGGCUGAAAAGCGUAGUCGAUGGACAACAGGUUGAUAUUCCUGUACCGAUAUUUAAUUGCCGAAGGAAGGACGCAGAAGGAUAACACAGGCCACUAUUGGAUGUGGUUUUAAACAGUUAGUCUUCAUAAGAGUCAAAUGCUUUUAUGUUUAAGGAUAAGCUGUGAAUGUACCAAGUUUACUUGGAAAUUGUGUGAUUUCACGCUGCUGAAAAAAGUUUCGUAGGAAGAAAAUAUUGCCCGUACCGCAAACCGACACAGGUACUCGAGUGGAGAACACUAAGGUGAGCGAGUGAACUAUUGUUAAGGAACUCUGCAAAAUGAGUCCGUAACUUCGGAAGAAGGACUGCUGGUUUUAUACCAGCCGCAGCAAAUAGGCCCAAACAACUGUUUAUCAAAAACACAGGUUUCUGCAAAAUCGUAAGAUGAAGUAUAGGGGCUGACGCCUGCCCAGUGCUGGAA